CGACUCUUAGCGGUGGAUCACUCGGCUCGUGCGUCGAUGAAGAACGCAGCUAGCUGCGAGAAUUAAUGUGAAUUGCAGGACACAUUGAUCAUCGACACUUCGAACGCACUUGCGGCCCCGGGUUCCUCCCGGGGCUACGCCUGUCUGAGCGUCGCUCGACUCUUAGCGGUGGAUCACUCGGCUCGUGCGUCGAUGAAGAACGCAGCUAGCUGCGAGAAUUAAUGUGAAUUGCAGGACACAUUGAUCAUCGACACUUCGAACGCACUUGCGGCCCCGGGUUCCUCCCGGGGCUACGCCUGUCUGAGCGUCGCU
RNAcentral lists this long non-coding RNA (312 nucleotides) under Rattus norvegicus (Norway rat). RNAcentral describes it as "long non-coding RNA NONRATT009377". The stretch from base 2 to 154 matches the Rfam family "5.8S ribosomal RNA". Lineage: Eukaryota; Metazoa; Chordata; Mammalia; Rodentia; Muridae. The record is from RNAcentral.